GAUAUAUCUUGUGUGCCAUCAACAAUAAUUGCAAAGGCAUUAUUCCCAAUCUGUUUCCGAAUAAGGCGUAAUAGGGUGUGAGACAAUAACUUCAAAAUCUAAUUUUGAAUGUCGGGACUCAUGUAUUCUGCUUUGUGUGAUAUCCAAUUUUUUAGAUAAGACACAUCAUCUGCUUGUGCAAGCAGAAACUGUUUAAAAUUGCCAUCAUUGUCUUCAUGGUCAUGAAGAG
Pelobates cultripes (western spadefoot toad) is the source of this 229-nucleotide non-coding RNA. The record is from the annotation of a GenBank genome assembly. Lineage: Eukaryota; Metazoa; Chordata; Amphibia; Anura; Pelobatidae.